Astatotilapia calliptera (eastern happy) is the source of this 1158-nucleotide long non-coding RNA. Lineage: Eukaryota; Metazoa; Chordata; Actinopteri; Cichliformes; Cichlidae. The record is from Ensembl.
CGGAGGUGUGCGUUGAAGAUCUCACGGACUGAGGCCUCUGCUAGACGUUCCCAGCACACCCUCACUGCGCAUUUAGGUGCACCGGGUCUGUCCAGCAUCCUCCCCCGCCAUGUCUCCACUCUAAUUCUGUUGUUUUCAUUCAAAUUCUAUUCUUGUCAUUCGAAUUCUGUUGUUUUCUUUCAAAUUUUGUUGUUCUGUUUCAACUUCCAUUGUUUUCAUUCAAAUUUUGUUGUUUUCUUUCAACUUCCGGUGUUUUCAUUCAAAUUCCAUUCUUGUCAUUCUAAUUCUGUUGUUCUCAUUCAAAUUCUAUUCUCUUCAUUCUAGUACUGUUUUUUUUAUUAAAAUUUUGUUCUUUUCAUUCUAAUUCUGUUGUUUUCAUUCAAAUUAUGUUGUUUUCAUUCUAUUUCCGUUAUUUUCACUCAAAUUCCGUUCUUUACAUUCUAAUUCUGUUGUUUUCUUUCAAAUUCUGUUGUUCUCUUUCAACUUCCGUUGUCUUCAUUCAAAUUUUGUUGUUUUCUUUUUUUUUUUCUUUUUUUUUUUCCUCAGAUAUUUUUAUUAAAGUUUCUGCAUCCAUUUUUACAAAAGACAAAUUGAACAAUAUGCCGUUUUCUUUUUGAAGAACAUAAAACAAUAUGAAACAUACACUCCCACCUCAUGAUUAUAGAAGUACCAGUGGGUGUACAAAAAGAAAAAAGAAAGGGUCGAAUCUAAUAAUACGAAUAGUAAACCCUGGAGUACAAGAUAGCAGUUCCUGAGUGUACAAGAGAGAUGUGGAGAGUUUCAGAGCCCACACCCCCACACAGACACAGAAAAAACAAAACACAGAAACCAAAAAAAAAACAAAACACAAACAUAAUGAGUGGUCAGCUUAGUUGUAGAGAUAAGUCAAUUCUGUAAGAGAAAAGAAAUAUGUAUAAAGUAGGUAAGUAAAUGCCAUCAUAAGGCGCAGGCACAAUAGAGUCCAUAUACUUAAACAUAAACAUCUUACUUAUGCAUAAGAUAAAAUAAAAUAGAAUAAAGUCUGAACAUGGUCAAAAAAGGGUUGCCAGGUCUUAAAAAAUUUGGCCAUAGACCCACGCAGGGUGAAUUUAAUCUUUUCGAGUUUGCUAAAAUGCAAAGCGUCUCUGAUCCAGCAUGGGGGAGAAGGGGACUUCUAAC